Molecule: ribosomal RNA, 390 nt
Filed under: Triticum aestivum (bread wheat)
Lineage: Eukaryota; Viridiplantae; Streptophyta; Magnoliopsida; Poales; Poaceae
Description: partial small subunit ribosomal RNA
Source: RNAcentral
UUGAUCUCCGAUGAGCCGGGUCUGGCCAAGGUAGCUAUCGACCACUUCUCCGCUGCCCUGGUCGCGCACGGGGACCGAUCGUGUACUCUCGACCUCGAAGCCAUUGGUCACCCACGGGCGUUUGAUCUAUCAUCCCUUGCGGAGCCGUUCUCCCAGGAUGAGAUUUGGGAGGCUAUCAAGAAGCUCCCCUCCGACAAGUCGCCGGGCCCGGAUGGGUUCACGGCCGAAUUCGUCCGUUCUUGCUGGGACAUCAUCAAGCAAGACCUCCGUGUUCAACGGCCAGUCUUUCUAGCGUCUCAACGAGGCACUAAUCACUCUGCUGCCGAAGAAGCCCGACGCAGCUACGCUCUUCCACUAUCGCCCUAUAAGCCUCAGCCACCUCGUGGCUAA